RNAcentral lists this long non-coding RNA (2425 nucleotides) under Triticum aestivum (bread wheat). RNAcentral's name for it is "long non-coding RNA (TAES_LNC025570)". The record is from RNAcentral. Lineage: Eukaryota; Viridiplantae; Streptophyta; Magnoliopsida; Poales; Poaceae.
AGAACGUAGUUUUGUAGUAACAGACCAGGAAACUUUAUAGGUGACCCGAUUUUGACCUGACAUCAAUUUCACUUCACUCGUCGUAAAUUUACAUGCAUAGUUAACCCAAUCCCUUUCUUUUUUACGUAGGUGCCAUAAUUGGCACGGUUAUGACUACAUAACUAUAUUCUCAGCUCAAACAUAGAGCACACAGCAAUCAAGCAAAGAAACGAACAAAAACAAAACAACUGCAUCCACAAGAAUCCAGUGCCGCGAGCAAGUAGCGGAGAAUGUAAGAGAACCAGGCUGAAGAAUGCUUCUAAUGUCAUGCCCUGGUGGAUCUGGGAUAUAAGAUCACCCCCUUCGAGCUGACAACAAUCAUGACUAUGUGACUGAAUACAAGUUAAGCAUUGUCCACUGUCGGUGCCUGUCAAGGAAGGGCAACAUUUAAGGACUACAAUAGUAAACUUCAUCAUGCUUUAGCCGGUUAGGAAUUAAGUACACAAAAAAGGAAAACACUGGCCCCAUUCUUGUCAUAUGCAAGUAGCCCCGUUCUUGUCAUAUGUUACACCCAAUGCAUGCAAACAAGCACUACCUCUGUCCCAUAAUAUAAUACGUUUAGGAGUACGUAGUAAUUUUAGACCUUUUUAGGCAUCUACAAUGCUGGCUCUUAGCCCAGGCGCUAGGAUGUUAUUCCUGGCCAUUUUGGCUCCAUCCUGUUCGAUCCUAGGAUUUAGGCAAGCGUCGCUGCCAAGCCAAUCGUCUGACUCUUGGUCCUCUAUUUUUUGCCAUAAGACUUUUUAACAAACGCUGCAUCUUCGCCAAGCGACUUCAAGGUAUCUUUGCCUACGGACAUACAACAUCUUCGCCAACAAGCACUCUAAGACUACGCUCAAGAGAAGCUCCUCAAGCUCAAGUCCGCGACUUCCACGAGCUACUACGACCUCGACAUCGACCAUAUGAUUCCUUUCUAUGGAACUCUAGAACCGAGGAGUAUCUCGAGUGCGAGCGCUUGAUGGACGACUACCUCAAGCUACAUCAAGUUCCUCCCGAAGAUCAAGUGAAGUGCGCCACAAGAAACUUUCACCACUACGCGUCAACAUGGUGGCUUCACACACCUUUGGAGAGCUACGACAUGAGUUGGUCCAAGACAAAGAAAGCUAUGCGGCGAGAGUUCGUGCCUCCAACCUACACGGAAUAACUUCUACGCCAAUUGGAGAACACCGCCCAAGGAUCCAAGUCCAUCGACACAUACUUCAAGGAGAUGAAGAAUGUCUUGCAACGAGCCGGCGUGGACGACCCCAUUUUAAUGAAGUUCCACUUCAUGAUGGGAUUGCGCAACGACAUCUCCAAGACUAUCUUCCUCGAGAACUACAAGUCCCUCGACGACUACUACAUUGGUGCUCUCAAGGCGGAACAAGAACUCAUGAAGGCCAAGGCUUCUCCACCCAAGCACACUUCUCGAAGACCAAGCUCCAAGACGGCGAGCAUGAGGAUAGUACCACCACGAUGUCCAAACCCGACAAGCUCCAAGACGACGCUCCCAAGUUUGACUUCACCGCCAUCCCACUUUAUGGCAUUGAUAAUGCCGAGUCUACUUCGACUCUUUCAAGAUGGUGCGGCGACGACUACGACUACGGAGGCAUUCAAGGACCAAGCUUUGGAGGCGAACGACAUGGUGACGAGCAAGGAUGAUACUUCCAUCUUUGGAGGCGAGUGAUGAUGUGCCAUCUUCGGCCUUUAUCCAUGGCGACAGCGACGAGAUGGUGGAGCAUGGGAUUUUCCCUUCGACCACGGCGACGUAUGAUGACUUGAGUGACUUUUGCCAUCAUAUUGAGAGUGAGAGUGACUUCACCACUAGCCUCAUAUAUGAUGUGUUGCCCCAAUUCCCAUGUGAGAGCCAUAACCCCCACCACUUGAGUAAGAUGAGUGACUCCUCCAUACGUGAGAUUGAGUGCACCUAUUUUGAGGAAGUGAGUGAACCACCACAUAGAGAGUGAGAUAGUUGAUAGGGCAUGUGAGGCCAUUUCGAUUUCUAAUGACUUAACCUCUACCACUAUUGUGUCUUUCAUUUGGUGCUAGGUCCCAUAUAUGAUGACGCGCCGAUUCGCGAUGACUGCGACAUGGUUCCAUAAAGAUGAUGACAUUGACCACCAUUUGAUCUUUCCCACCUCACCUACACCACUUGAGUGGAAUGAGUAAGGUAACAUAGGUGAAGGUGAUGCUCUGGUCUCACUAGUGGACAUUCUUGACAUUGAUUGCUUGCAUGAUGUUGAUCCACCUAUUACCAUGCUUCAUGCUAGUAUGACUUCCCCAUGCGAUGAUUUACCCAUUUAUGAUGAAUUUGAUGAUUGCCAUGUGGAGUCUAUUAGUUGCGAUGUCACGUUGCAUAGGAUUUCUUGGCAUAAUUCUUUAGGUCGCAUCGUGUUUGACAAUCCGCUUGACC